GACGAACGCUGGCGGCGUGCCUAAUACAUGCAAGUAGAACGCUGAAGGAGGAGCUUGCUUCUCUGGAUGAGUUGCGAACGGGUGAGUAACGCGUAGGUAACCUGCCUGGUAGCGGGGGAUAACUAUUGGAAACGAUAGCUAAUACCGCAUAAGAGUAGAUGUUGCAUGACAUUUGCUUAAAAGGUGCAAUUGCAUCACUACCAGAUGGACCUGCGUUGUAUUAGCUAGUUGGUGGGGUAACGGCUCACCAAGGCGACGAUACAUAGCCGACCUGAGAGGGUGAUCGGCCACACUGAGACUGAGACACGGCCCAGACUCCUACGGGAGGCAGCAGUAGGGAAUCGUCGGCCAUGGACGGAAGUCUGACCGAGCAACGCCGCGGGAGUGAAGAAGGGUGUCGGAUCGUAAAGCUCUGUUGUAAGAGAAGAACGAGUGUGAGAGUGGAAAGUUCACACUGUGACGGUAUCUUACCAGAAAGGGACGGCUAACUACGUG
Molecule: ribosomal RNA, 495 nt
Filed under: uncultured bacterium
Lineage: Bacteria
Description: partial 16S ribosomal RNA
Rfam family: Bacterial small subunit ribosomal RNA
Source: RNAcentral